RNAcentral lists this transfer RNA (76 nucleotides) under Cetobacterium ceti. RNAcentral's name for it is "tRNA-Met". It matches the Rfam family "tRNA". From Rfam's summary of the family: Transfer RNA (tRNA) molecules are approximately 80 nucleotides in length. Their secondary structure includes four short double-helical elements and three loops (D, anti-codon, and T loops). Lineage: Bacteria; Fusobacteriati; Fusobacteriota; Fusobacteriia; Fusobacteriales; Fusobacteriaceae. The record is from RNAcentral.
CGCGGGGUAGAGCAGUUGGCAGCUCGUCGGGCUCAUAACCCGAAGGUCGUUGGUUCGAAUCCAACCCCCGCCACCA